This 526-nucleotide ribosomal RNA is filed under the name Melanohalea infumata. RNAcentral describes it as "eukaryotic LSU rRNA". It matches the Rfam family "Eukaryotic large subunit ribosomal RNA", at positions 112 to 650 of the family's 3401-position model. Lineage: Eukaryota; Fungi; Ascomycota; Lecanoromycetes; Lecanorales; Parmeliaceae. The record is from RNAcentral.
AAUUUGAAAUCUGGCCCUUCCGGGGUCCGAGUUGUAAUUUGUAGAGAGUGCUUCGGGGGAGACUGCGGUCUAAGUCCAUUGGAACAUGGCGUCCCAGAGGGUGAGAAUCCCGUAUGUGACCGCGGCUCGAGCCCAUGUGAAGCCUCUUCGACGAGUCGAGUUGUUUGGGAAUGCAGCUCUAAAUGGGUGGUAAAUUUCAUCUAAAGCUAAAUACUGGCUGGAGACCGAUAGCGCACAAGUAGAGUGAUCGAAAGAUGAAAAGCACUUUGGAAAGAGGGUUAAACAGUACGUGAAAUUGUUGAAAGGGAAGCGCUGGCAACCAGACCUGCCCGUAGGCGAUCACCCGUUGUUCUCAGCGGUGCACUCGUUCUGCGAUCAGGCCAGCAUCGGUUCGGGCGGGCGGAUAAAGGUCUUGGGAAUGUAGCUUCCCUUCGGGGGAGUCUUAUAGCCCUUGAUGCAAUGCGCCCAGCCGGGACCGAGGACCGCGCUUCGGCUAGGAUGCUGGCGUAAUGGUUGUCAGCGACCC